UAAGGAAUAUUGGUCAAUGGACGAAAGUCUGAACCAGCCAUGCCGCGUGAAGGAUGAAGGCCCUCUGGGUUGUAAACUUCUUUUAUAGGGGACGAAAAAAGGUCAUUCUUGAUCACUUGACGGUACCCUAGGAAUAAGCACCGGCUAACUCCGUGCCAGCAGCCGCGGUAAUACGGAGGGUGCAAGCGUUAUCCGGAUUUACUGGGUUUAAAGGGUGCGUAGGUGGGCAGUUAAGUCAGUGGUGAAAUCUCCGAGCUUAACUCGGAAACUGCCAUUGAUACUAUCUGUCUUGAAUAUCCUGGAGGUGAGCGGAAUAUGUCAUGUAGCGGUGAAAUGCUUAGAUAUGACAUAGAACACCAAUUGCGAAGGCAGCUCACUACGGGGUUAUUGACACUGAGGCACGAAAGCGUGGGGAUCAAACA
Molecule: ribosomal RNA, 422 nt
Filed under: uncultured bacterium
Lineage: Bacteria
Description: bacterial SSU rRNA
Rfam family: Bacterial small subunit ribosomal RNA
Source: RNAcentral